This 76-nucleotide transfer RNA is filed under the name Gammaproteobacteria bacterium. Its description in RNAcentral is "tRNA-Thr". It matches the Rfam family "tRNA". Rfam says of the family: Transfer RNA (tRNA) molecules are approximately 80 nucleotides in length. Lineage: Bacteria; Pseudomonadati; Pseudomonadota; Gammaproteobacteria. The record is from RNAcentral. RNAcentral also lists the same sequence under 3 other names.
GCAGGUGUGGCUCAGUUGGUAGAGCACUCCCUUGGUAAGGGAGAGGUCCCGGGUUCGAGUCCCGGCACUUGCACCA